AAUAGAUACCCGGGUAGUCCACGCCGUAAACGAUGUCGACUUGGAGGUUGUUCCCUUGAGGAGUGGCUUCCGGAGCUAACGCGUUAAGUCGACCGCCUGGGGAGUACGGCCGCAAGGUUAAAACUCAAAUGAAUUGACGGGGGGCCCGCACAAGCGGUGGAGCAUGUGGUUUAAUUCGAUGCAACGCGAAGAACCUUACCUACUCUUGACAUCCAGAGAACUUAGCAGAGAUGCUUUGGUGCCUUCGGGAACUCUGAGACAGGUGCUGCAUGGCUGUCGUCAGCUCGUGUUGUGAAAUGUUGGGUUAAGUCCCGCAACGAGCGCAACCCUUAUCCUUUGUUGCCAGCGGUUCGGCCGGGAACUCAAAGGAGACUGCCAGUGAUAAACUGGAGGAAGGUGGGGAUGACGUCAAGUCAUCAUGGCCCUUACGAGUAGGGCUACACACGUGCUACAAUGGCGUAUACAAAGAGAAGCGACCUCGCGAGAGCAAGCGGACCUCAUAAAGUACGUCGUAGUCCGGAUUGGAGU
This 528-nucleotide ribosomal RNA is filed under the name uncultured bacterium. Its description in RNAcentral is "bacterial SSU rRNA". It matches the Rfam family "Bacterial small subunit ribosomal RNA", at positions 777 to 1304 of the family's 1533-position model. The record is from RNAcentral.